Molecule: unclassified non-coding RNA, 420 nt
Filed under: Hevea brasiliensis (rubber tree)
Lineage: Eukaryota; Viridiplantae; Streptophyta; Magnoliopsida; Malpighiales; Euphorbiaceae
Source: RNAcentral
AAUUGGCCAAAUGUUGGAUACCAAAUUCCUGGAUUAGUGAUGCCAGUAGCCGGGCAGGGUGACCCUCGGAAACUUAUGCAGACUGGUAACUCAGGACUCACAAAUCUAGCAGGAAGCUCUGUACCAUAUCCAAUGUCUAGCUUUUAUACCUCAGGGCAGGUUACCCCUGUUAAUGGUGUGACGACUGGAGUUAGUAAGCCUCAAUUGGGAGCUCCAGCUUCAUCCGGGAAUUCAUCACAAUCUGGAAAGGAUUAUGAUUUCUCAUCAUUAACACAAGGCAUGUUCCCAAAGCAGUGAGUUUCGAGGGAGUGACAAUGUUGGCCUUUUCAUACCAAUACCAUGAUAGUUGUAUUACAGGAAAAGAGCACCUGAAAAAGAUUUUCCUCCUGUAUGGCGAUUGUAAACUAUUUUGUAGAGGCA